CGGCAAAUGAAGGGGAACCUUCUGUGUGCUAAGAAAAGAGAAUAUGUAGGCUGCUGCCUUACGGGAAUCACAGAGGACAGGGAUCAUUCCCAGAAACUGCUUGGAUUGACUGAAAGGCGGUUUGUCACACCAGAGUGAGGGAUGAAGAGUGGAAAACUCCCUAUAAUUACCUCUUCAGUGUUCCUGAGAGAUUGCCUGUGUGCCCAGUGGAUUUGGGACAAUGUGUUGGCUGAUGAUGACGAGGAAAAUGAUUUCCAAUAAAUGAGAAGCCUGUUGCAGGAGGAGUAGACAUGAGGAGGUGGCGCUGAGCACUUCCACAUCAAAGAUAUUAGCUGGUUUCCAAAAUUAUCUGUGCGUUUUACAGUUAUUCAGGAAAUCUCUUCUCACAAUAAAUAGAUCCCCGGUGCGGCUUUGAAAGGCCAUGGCAUUCAUUUCAUUCCAUUUCACGGAGCCAGAGCAGCUUGUUGCACAGAUGAAAUGGCCAUUGGUUCUCCUGGAAGAGCUCCUCAUGACUGGCUUCCCCUACAUGAGUUUGGACAUUAUGAUCAGAGGAGCUCAGGACCUUGUUGGUGAGAAUGGCAGUGUUUCACUUUGGGCAGCUCUGGGCCUUACAUCGAGCAUCACUUCCUGGCCUUACAUCGAGCAUCACUUCCUGGCUCCAGAGAGGAAGAUGUGUGCAUUUAAUCUCCAGGAGAAGCUUGUCACACUGGCUUUCAGGCAUAUACUCAACUGUUCUCAUUGUUGGAGGAGCUUGGGACCCCUGUGUCACUGAGGAUGGCUGUGGUACUUUUCAGUGCAGCCCUGAUCUUUAUUUUGAGCAUGACUCCUCAGCUCCAGUGUAGUACCCUCAACCUACCAACGCAGCUCCUUCACCCCACUGGCAUAGACUUUCUAGCAUCUACCACGGACCUUUGGGCCUUCCCUGCACAGAUCUGUAGAAGAGUCUAGCAUGAGUCCUUGCGUGGCCUCUAGACCUCUAGACCUCACGGGAGGCAUUGUCCUUGGCUCUAGGUCUUCAGCUGAACUCGUGAAGGACAUUGCUGUGGGAUGAACAUUGGGAUGGACAUUGCUUGGCUGAAUAUUCUGAGUUUUAAUGUUGUGGACAGAUUUCCUGCACUUUCUUGUGUUUAACUCUGGG
This is a long non-coding RNA of Cavia porcellus (domestic guinea pig), 1138 nucleotides long. NCBI's taxonomy places the organism in Eukaryota, Metazoa, Chordata, Mammalia, Rodentia, Caviidae. The record is from Ensembl.